Molecule: ribosomal RNA, 403 nt
Filed under: bacterium
Lineage: Bacteria
Description: partial 16S ribosomal RNA
Rfam family: Bacterial small subunit ribosomal RNA
Source: RNAcentral
UGGGGAAUAUUGCACAAUGGAGGGAACUCUGAUGCAGCGACGCCGCGUGAACGAAGAAGGCUUUCGAGUCGUAAAGUUCUUUUAUAUGGGAAGAUAAUGACGGUACCAUAAGAAAAAGCCCCGGCUAACUACGUGCCAGCAGCCGCGGUAAUACGUAGGGGGCUAGCGUUGUCCGGAAUCACUGGGCGUAAAGGGUUCGCAGGCGGAAAUGCAAGUCAGGUGUAAAAGGCAGUAGCUUAACUACUGUAAGCAUUUGAAACUGCAUAUCUUGAGAAGAGUAGAGGUAAGUGGAAUUUUUAGAGUAACGGUGAAAUGCGUAGAUAUUAAAAAUAAUACCGGUGGCGAAGGCGACUUACUGGGCUCAUUCUGACGCUGAGGAACGAAAGCGUGGGUAGCAAACAGG